RNAcentral lists this transfer RNA (74 nucleotides) under Rhipicephalus microplus (southern cattle tick). RNAcentral describes it as "tRNA-Ile". It matches the Rfam family "tRNA". From Rfam's summary of the family: Transfer RNA (tRNA) molecules are approximately 80 nucleotides in length. Lineage: Eukaryota; Metazoa; Arthropoda; Arachnida; Ixodida; Ixodidae. The record is from Rfam by way of RNAcentral.
GGCCUGCUAGCUCAGUCGGUUAGAGCGUCGUGCUAAUAACGCAAAGGUCGUAGGUUCGAUCCCUGCGCAGGCCA